GCUGGCGGCGUGCUUAACACAUGCAAGUCGAACGAGAAAGUUUCCUUCGGGAAACGAGUAGAGUGGCGCACGGGUGAGUAACGCGUAGGUAAUCUACCCUUAUGACCGGGAUAACAUUGGGAAACUGGUGCUAAUACCGGAUACCCUUCUUUGCUGCGGGGCAAAGUAGGAAAGGUGGCCUCUUCAUGAAAGCUACCGCAUAGGGAUGAGCCUGCGUACCAUUAGCUAGUAGGUGUGGGUAACGGCCCACCUAGGCUACGAUGGUUAGCGGGUCUGAGAGGAUGAUCCGCCACACUGGAACUGGAACACGGACCAGACUCCUACGGGAGGCAGCAGUGAGGAAUAUUGCGCAAUGGGGGAAACCCUGACGCAGCGACGCCGCGUGAGUGAGGAAGGCCUUCGGGUCGUAAAGCUCUGUCAGAAGGGAAGAAGUGUUACCUGGUUAAUACCCAUGUAAUUUGACGGUACCUUCAGAGGAAGCACCGGCUAACUCCGUGCCAGCAGCCGCGGUAAUACGGAGGGUGCAAGCGUUGUUCGGAAUUACUGGGCGUAAAGGGCGCGUA
This 563-nucleotide ribosomal RNA is filed under the name uncultured delta proteobacterium. RNAcentral's name for it is "bacterial SSU rRNA". It matches the Rfam family "Bacterial small subunit ribosomal RNA", at positions 35 to 573 of the family's 1533-position model. The record is from RNAcentral. Lineage: Bacteria; Deltaproteobacteria.